This 161-nucleotide unclassified non-coding RNA is filed under the name soil metagenome. RNAcentral describes it as "partial internal transcribed spacer 1". The record is from RNAcentral.
CACAAAUUAAAAUAUGAAGGCUUCGGCUGGAUUACUUUUAUCACCCUUGACUUUUGCGCACUUGUUGUUUCCUGGGCGGGUUCGCCCGCCACCAGGACCACACCAUAAACCUUUUUUUAUGCAGUUGCAAUCAGCGUCAGUAUACAAAUGUAAAUCAUUUA